CAGCUCUCUGCUUUCUGUGCAGCCCCUUGUGGGAGCUGAGUUCCAGUGACGCCCCAAGCCCUCGUUCUAUCUCUUACAGACAGGAGAACAAGCCAGGAUUGAUACGGCGCCUUUCCGGCAGCUUGGCAGGGGAGAGAUGGAGAAGGGACUGUCCCAGGGAGCUUGGCAUGGCACCCACAGGGCCUGCAUUCCAGGCUACUGCUGAAUGGCAGUUCAUUUUCUCUUGGUCUGAAAAGCUUUAGUGACUCAGCUUGGUCUGAAGUUUUGGUGAUGUAAUCGAAGCUUGGGAACUGGAGCCUGUGUCUUAUCCGUCCUGUGAGUGAGUAACCCUUGGGCGUAAUCCACACGUUCGCUG
This 355-nucleotide long non-coding RNA is filed under the name Gopherus evgoodei (Goodes thornscrub tortoise). RNAcentral describes it as "lncRNA (ENSGEVG00005016273.1)". Lineage: Eukaryota; Metazoa; Chordata; Testudines; Testudinidae. The record is from RNAcentral.